GAAUUCCAUCAGGGCAAAGCCUAACCAGCAGUCCUGUAGCUAGUUCUUGAAGGCUAGGCGGUAACGAAUAGCUUUAAGCGUAGAACGGCAAAAUAGCGGGCCGAAAGCGAAAUGCUGAAGUGAUUGGGCCUCGAAAAUACGUGGAGACGGGCCGAUGUAGUUACACAUACAGAAGGCGAAAUCGGUUCAAACGUUAUGGUGAGUUUGGACGGGCAAACCCGGGAGACCC
This is a non-coding RNA of Paenibacillus popilliae ATCC 14706, 229 nucleotides long. The record is from Rfam. NCBI's taxonomy places the organism in Bacteria, Bacillati, Bacillota, Bacilli, Caryophanales, Paenibacillaceae.